RNAcentral lists this ribosomal RNA (430 nucleotides) under uncultured bacterium. Its description in RNAcentral is "bacterial SSU rRNA". It matches the Rfam family "Bacterial small subunit ribosomal RNA", at positions 8 to 438 of the family's 1533-position model. The record is from RNAcentral.
AGAGUUUGAUCCUGGCUCAGAUUGAACGCUGGCGGCAGGCCUAACACAUGCAAGUCGAGCGGUAACAUUUCUAGCUUGCUAGAAGAUGACGAGCGGCGGACGGGUGAGUAAUACUUGGGGAUCUGCCUGAUGGCGGGGGACAACCACUGGAAACGGUGGCUAAUACCGCAUAAUGCCUACGGGCCAAAGUGUGGGACCUUCGGGCCACAUGCCAUCAGAUGAACCCAAGCGAGAUUAGCUAGUUGGUGAGGUAACGGCUCACCAAGGCGACGAUCUCUAGCUGUUCUGAGAGGAUGAUCAGCCACACUGGGACUGAGACACGGCCCAGACUCCUACGGGAGGCAGCAGUGGGGAAUAUUGGACAAUGGGCGCAAGCCUGAUCCAGCCAUGCCGCGUGUGUGAAGAAGGCCUUCUGUUGUGAGCACUUUCA